RNAcentral lists this ribosomal RNA (230 nucleotides) under uncultured bacterium. Its description in RNAcentral is "partial 16S ribosomal RNA". It matches the Rfam family "Bacterial small subunit ribosomal RNA", at positions 562 to 791 of the family's 1533-position model. The record is from RNAcentral.
AAAGCGUGCGCAGGCGGUUGUGUAAGUCAGAUGUGAAAUCCCCGGGCUCAACCUGGGAAUUGCAUUUGAGACUGCACGGCUAGAGUGUGUCAGAGGGGGGUAGAAUUCCACGUGUAGCAGUGAAAUGCGUAGAUAUGUGGAGGAAUACCGAUGGCGAAGGCAGCCCCCUGGGAUAACACUGACGCUCAUGCACGAAAGCGUGGGGAGCAAACAGGAUUAGAUACCCUUGU